AAGCUGUGAUGAUUUUCCACUUCAGGUCCGUGUUUCUGAACUCUGAUUAUCAUGGAAGUUCUGAGUUA
Oryzias javanicus (javanese ricefish) is the source of this 68-nucleotide small nucleolar RNA. Its record names the gene SNORD18. It matches the Rfam family "Small nucleolar RNA SNORD18". From Rfam's summary of the family: U18 is a member of the C/D class of snoRNA which contain the C (UGAUGA) and D (CUGA) box motifs. It is encoded in introns of ribosomal protein L1 in Xenopus and human, and in introns of elongation factor 1 beta in yeast. The record is from Ensembl. Lineage: Eukaryota; Metazoa; Chordata; Actinopteri; Beloniformes; Adrianichthyidae.